UUUUAAAAUUGGUGAUGGAUGAUUUAGCAUGGUUACUGUCUCCUCUGUAGUGAUGUAGGGAUGGACGUGACUCCUGAUGCAGGAGGAAUCCCACCUGAGGGCGGAGUCACCACACACCACAAACACACACACACACAUUUGUUUCACUAUCCUUGUGGGUACCAAAACAUUUAAUCUCAUUCAAAAUCCUAUUAUCCCUAAACCUAAUCUUAACCCCAAACCCUAAAACUAAAUUUAACCCUUACUCCUAACCCUAAAUCUAACUCCUAACCUUAAUUGUAACCCUAGCCCUAAUUAUAAGCCUAACCCUAAACCAAACCCAUAAGCCUUAUAUAGACAUUUUCCUUGUGGGGACUGGCAAAAUGUCUCCACUUUUCCAAAAUGUCCUUGUUUUACCAUCCUUGUGAGGGCUUUUGGUCCCCACAGGUAUAGCAAAACCAAACCCACACACACACACACACACACACACACACACACACACACACACACACACACAAUGUUCUUGUAUCCUCAUGGGGACCUACAAUUCAUUUAUAUUUUAAAUCCUAUUUUCCCUAACCCUAAAACUUACCUUAACCCGUAACCCUAAAACACUAACCCCUUAUCCUUACCCUAAUUCUAACCCCAAUUGUAACACUAACCCUAAACCUAACCCCUAAGCUUAAAAUAGUAUUUGAAAUGUCCCCAUGAGGGAGAGUUUUCCUUGUUUGACUAUCCUUGUGGGGACAAUUGGGGAUUUUAGGUCCCCACGAGGAUAGGAUAACCAACACACACACACACACACACACACACACACACACACACACACACACACACACACACACACACACACACACACACACACACACACACACACACACACACACACCCUGCAGGAGCUGAGUCGCCCCAAGGCGAAGUUUAACCUCCGUAAACUGGACAGCAAGGUGCCCUCCAAGACAUAAACAACUCCAAACGCAUUGAGAACACAAAGGCGGAGUCUGUUGAGGAAGAGGACAGCCACUUCUCCAGUCUGCGCAGGUCUGCGAGUGAAAUCACUUCCUGUCUGGUUGUUCAACUUUGGCAGCCUGCAGCAUCCCAGUUGAAGGGGGAGAAAGGGAGGACGACUAGUCACCCUGAGAGAGCAGAGAAGACUCAGAGGGCUUAUGUCCUAGCCCCAAACCCAGAUCACCCUGAGGACUUCCCUGCCUUAGCUGUGGGGAGAUUCAUUAUUUUACCAAGACUACAAAGGAAUUCCUUUUGUUUGCAUUUGGCUCCUGGUGAAAUGGGUUGCACUUACAUUUGAAAAAAAAAAUCUAUUCUUACACAUUUGGGUGUUAUUUCUCCUCCUGCCUUGUGUUCCUAUGGAAGCACUGAAGGCAAUGUUCAAUAAGCCCUUUGACAAUAGAUGUACUGUUGCAGAUGGCUUGUCUUGUCUUACUUUGUUGCUCUGAAGGACACAACAGACCAACACUAAC
RNAcentral lists this long non-coding RNA (1457 nucleotides) under Salmo salar (Atlantic salmon). RNAcentral's name for it is "lncRNA (ENSSSAG00000092077.1)". The record is from RNAcentral. Lineage: Eukaryota; Metazoa; Chordata; Actinopteri; Salmoniformes; Salmonidae.